AGCAGACGCGGUAAUUCCAGCUCCAAUAGCGUAUAUUUAAGUUGUUGCAGGGAAUCUGGCUGUUACUUUGAAAAAUUAGAGUGUUUAAAGCAGGCUAACGCUUGAAUACAUUAGCAUGAAUAAUGAAAUAGGACGUUCGAUCCUAUUUUGUUGGUUUCUAGGAUUGACGUAAUGAUUAUAGGGAUAGUUGGGGCAUUAGUAUUCAAUUGUCAGAGGUGAAAUUCUUGGAUUUAUUGAGACUAACUACUGCGAAAGCAUUU
This 260-nucleotide ribosomal RNA is filed under the name uncultured Glomeromycotina. RNAcentral's name for it is "partial small subunit ribosomal RNA". It matches the Rfam family "Eukaryotic small subunit ribosomal RNA", at positions 569 to 956 of the family's 1831-position model. The record is from RNAcentral. Lineage: Eukaryota; Fungi; Glomeromycota.